RNAcentral lists this ribosomal RNA (277 nucleotides) under uncultured bacterium. RNAcentral describes it as "partial 16S ribosomal RNA". It matches the Rfam family "Bacterial small subunit ribosomal RNA", at positions 29 to 293 of the family's 1533-position model. The record is from RNAcentral.
AGUGAACGCUGGCGGCGUGCCUAACACAUGCAAGUCGAGCGGAUCCUGGCAGCGUAUCGUCAGGGUUAGCGGCAAACGGGUGAGUAACACGUAGGUAAUCUGCCUUCAGAAGGGGGAUAACCCCGCGAAAGCGGGGCUAAUACCGCGUAAGACCACGGUCCCGCAUGGGACAGGGGUUAAAUCCACGACGCAAGUCGUGGGUCUGAAGAGGAGCCUGCGGCCUAUCAGCUAGUUGGCGGGGUAACGGCCCACCAAGGCGAAGACGGGUAGCCGGCCU